Molecule: ribosomal RNA, 496 nt
Filed under: uncultured bacterium
Lineage: Bacteria
Description: partial 16S ribosomal RNA
Rfam family: Bacterial small subunit ribosomal RNA
Source: RNAcentral
AUUGAACGCUGGCGGAAUGCUUUACACAUGCAAGUCGAACGGUAGAGGGGGCAACCCCUCGAGAGUGGCGAACGGGUGAGUAAUAUAUCGGAACGUGCCCAGUCGUGGGGGAUAACGUAGCGAAAGUUACGCUAAUACCGCAUACGAUCUAAGGAUGAAAGCGGGGGAUCGCAAGACCUCGCGCGAUUGGAGCGGCCGAUAUCAGAUUAGGUAGUUGGUGGGGUAAAGGCUCACCAAGCCAACGAUCUGUAGCUGGUCUGAGAGGACGACCAGCAACACUGGAGCUGAGACACGGUCCAGACUCCUACGGGAGGCAGCAGUGGGGAAGUUUGGACAAUGGACGCAAGUCUGAUCCAGCCAUUCCGCGUGCAGGAUGAAGGCCCUCGGGUUGUAAACUGCUUUUGUACGGAACGAAAAGGUCUCUCUUAAUACGGGGGGCUCAUGACGGUACCGUAAGAAUAAGCACCGGCUAACUACGUGCCAGCCGCCGCCGUAA